RNAcentral lists this long non-coding RNA (459 nucleotides) under Vigna radiata. RNAcentral describes it as "long non-coding RNA (VRAD_LNC018092)". Lineage: Eukaryota; Viridiplantae; Streptophyta; Magnoliopsida; Fabales; Fabaceae. The record is from RNAcentral.
GGGUUUACAGUUUCAUCCUGAUCCACCUUCCUAUAUCUAUUAUUCCUAUUUUAUUCAAAUUUAUUAUCAAUGUUCAUGCAUUUUUCUAAUUUACUCUAAAUCCGAUCUCUCGACUAAAAGAGCCUAUUACCAUAAUUACUAGUUUACCAUCUCUAGUCUCCCUAAUAAUUACUAAUGCAUUAAUGACAGAAGCUUAAAGCAAUUGACCGUCCUAUUCCUAUCUCUAGGCAAUAUUUAAUAAUCAAGAGAAUUCUUCUCAAAACUAUAUUUCCCCGUAUGUCCCCGUAUCAAAAAAAUCAAAAAUCAUGACACUGAAUGAGUUAAACAAUGCAAGCUUUAAAGUACAGAGAAUAAAACCCAAACUAUUGAUAAUACAAGUAUAUGACUAAAAUAGGAAUUUCAAUAUAAGAGAGUUUCACAAGGAUUACAUUGUUCCCCAACAAAAAAGGGUUUAGUUCA